GUCAUUGCGCAGGCACUUUGGUGACUCUAGAUAACCUCGGGCUCAUCGCACGUUCCCGUGACGGAGACGACGCAUUCGGAUGUCUGCCCUAUAAACUUUCGAUGGUACUUUCUGCGCCUACCAUGGUGACCUUGGGUAACGGGGAAUCAGGGUUCGAUUCCAGAGAGGGAGCCUGAGAAAUGGCUACCUUAUCCAAGGAAGGCAGCAGGCGCGCAAAUUCUUUAACGAGGAUCUAUUGGAGGG
Non-coding RNA from Pelobates cultripes (western spadefoot toad), 243 nucleotides. NCBI's taxonomy places the organism in Eukaryota, Metazoa, Chordata, Amphibia, Anura, Pelobatidae. The record is from the annotation of a GenBank genome assembly.